UCAGCUAGGAGGCAGGUCCAAACUC
Molecule: unclassified non-coding RNA, 25 nt
Filed under: Mus musculus (house mouse)
Lineage: Eukaryota; Metazoa; Chordata; Mammalia; Rodentia; Muridae
Description: oocyte_clustered_small_RNA9358
Source: RNAcentral